RNAcentral lists this unclassified non-coding RNA (450 nucleotides) under Hevea brasiliensis (rubber tree). Lineage: Eukaryota; Viridiplantae; Streptophyta; Magnoliopsida; Malpighiales; Euphorbiaceae. The record is from RNAcentral.
GGAUUGAACAGCAAGAAUGUAUCUGGCUCGGGAGAAAGGCAUAACAAACCAUUGCAAGAACCGAAGUACGUGACUUCAUCAUAGCUGUUCUUCUCGACUGGAAAAUCAAGCUCCUCUGCAAUUGCAUCAUUGUUUUCUUCAUAUCGUACAGAGUAAAAUGAGCGAAGAGAAGGAGAUGUGAGAAUAAGUCUCUCCCUCUCUCAUAGUUGAAAUUGUUGUCUGUGACUGCCAGAUUGAGGUGAGUUCUAAUGAAUUGUGGGUCAAAGAUUAUAGAACACCAUGAUUUGCACACACAUUUGAAUCGAAGUAGAGACUUCACUGGUAGCCUUGAGAGUAUGUGGAUUAUGAUAUCAGGAGGAAGAUUACCCAUCAUUGUUCAUCUCAGAUCAAUAGCAUCAUGAUCUCGUAUAUAGACAAGAAUUUCCCAUUACAACAUUGGUAGAACAGAAC